RNAcentral lists this transfer RNA (73 nucleotides) under Candidatus Hydrothermarchaeota archaeon. Its description in RNAcentral is "tRNA-Asn". It matches the Rfam family "tRNA". From Rfam's summary of the family: Transfer RNA (tRNA) molecules are approximately 80 nucleotides in length. Their secondary structure includes four short double-helical elements and three loops (D, anti-codon, and T loops). The record is from RNAcentral. Lineage: Archaea; Methanobacteriati; Candidatus Hydrothermarchaeota. RNAcentral also lists the same sequence under 1 other name.
GCCGCCGUAGCUCAGUAGGUAGAGCGCCUGGCUGUUAACCAGGUGGUCGUCAGUUCGAGUCUGACCGGCGGCG